AUAAGUUUGUUGCAAAGAAGAUUCAAAGUGGGUGGUUAAAGUGAUCAACAACUGCCGUUUUUGUUUUUUUGGAAUGCUGAAGAACAGCUGUAACAGGUUUGUAUUUCCAUUUCUGCAUCUCUUUUUAAUUAAAUUAAUUAUGAUCAUUAUCAUAUUUAUGUAUUGUCACUGGGAAAUGUAACUGGAUGAGUAAAUGUAAUGCAAUUUUAAGGAAAAAAACACCAUUUGAAUUAUUAUGGCUGUAUUUUAUGGUUAUUGUCAUCUUAAAAUUUAUUUAUACCUAUUUCUUGUCAUUAAUGAACAGAUUUCUUUCCCCCAUAUUUAAUCAGAACUUUAAUAUUUUAUAUUUGAAGGUUAAACCCCAAGGUGAAAUUUACAUUGAUCGGAAGAUCCAUUGGACAGAAUGUGCAUCAUCGCCUGCCAAAUAAGGGAGCAAAAAGGGGACUACCUGAUGUAUGGACAUGUAUACCAGGCCAACUUGAGGGGAACAGGAGUGGGAAACCGUGCCCUGUAGCUUGUCCUUGACCAAGAAAAGAUGGAUUUGUUGAGAGGACCUGAUCUCAAAUGAGAUCAUGCACGAGAAGCGCCUCGCAGACCAUGACAGUAGUAUUCAGACCUGAUCAGCUGGUGAAGUGCUCUAUAAAGGGUUGUUUAUGAAUGCAUUCUUUGUAAGGAACAGUGUAUAACAACAAAUAUAGUGACAGGGGCUAAGCUGCUAAAUAUUGUCAGCAUGUAUGCAGUGAU
Molecule: long non-coding RNA, 744 nt
Organism: Dreissena polymorpha
Lineage: Eukaryota; Metazoa; Mollusca; Bivalvia; Myida; Dreissenidae
Exons: 2
Source: RefSeq, a predicted model, not a curated record